AGUGAACGCUGGCGGUAGGCCUAACACAUGCAAGUCGAACGGCAGCACAGGAGAGCUUGCUCUCUGGGUGGCGAGUGGCGGACGGGUGAGGAAUACAUCGGAAUCUACUCUGUCGUGGGGGAUAACGUAGGGAAACUUACGCUAAUACCGCAUACGACCUACGGGUGAAAGCAGGGGACCUUCGGGCCUUGCGCGAUUGAAUGAGCCGAUGUCGGAUUAGCUAGUUGGCGGGGUAAAGGCCCACCAAGGCGACGAUCCGUAGCUGGUCUGAGGGGAUGAUCAGCCACACUGGAACAGAGACACGGACCAGACUCCUACGGGAGGCAGCAGUGGGGAAUAUUGGACAAUGGGCGCAAGCCUGAUCCAGCCAUACCGCGUGGGUGAAGAAGGCCUUCGGGUUGUAAAGCCCUUUUGUUGGGAAAGAAAUCCAGCUGGCUAAUACCCGGUUGGGAUGACGGUACCCAAAGAAUAAGCACCGGCUAACUUCGUGCCAGCAGCCGCCGUAA
This 506-nucleotide ribosomal RNA is filed under the name uncultured bacterium. Its description in RNAcentral is "partial 16S ribosomal RNA". It matches the Rfam family "Bacterial small subunit ribosomal RNA", at positions 29 to 523 of the family's 1533-position model. The record is from RNAcentral.